RNAcentral lists this long non-coding RNA (350 nucleotides) under Mus spicilegus (steppe mouse). RNAcentral's name for it is "lncRNA (ENSMSIG00000003751.1)". The record is from RNAcentral. Lineage: Eukaryota; Metazoa; Chordata; Mammalia; Rodentia; Muridae.
GGUGAAAGCAAGCUUUAACCCUCAUGGUGACUCAUCUAGGUAAGAAACUCCGAGACUUAGGAGAAGGAAGACAUGGAGACUCAGGAUGGAGGAAGACAUGGGUCUUUUUGAGAAAUGGUGAGACCACAUUGUCCCAGCAAAGAAGCAGAGCUGAUGUCUGGAAAUACUACACCAGGCAAACACGCUCCAGGAGAGUGUGGAGACUUCAGUUCUCUGGAACUUGUCCAUAUUUGGCAUGGUCAUUCUUUGAACUUCAGACAUCUUACAAGGUGCCAUGGAAUCUUGUCAUUUUCAUUGAUGUCCUUCUGAUGAUUAAUGCUAUCAAGAAUUUUUGUGUCCCUAUUUGUCAC